CUACGGGUGGCUGCAGUGGGGAAUAUUGGGCAAUGGGGGCAACCCUGAUCCAGCCAUGCCGCGUGUGUGAAGAAGGCCUUUUGGUUGUAAAGCACUUUAAGCAGGGAGGAGAGGCUAAUGGUUAAUACCCAUUAGAUUAGACGUUACCUGCAGAAUAAGCACCGGCUAACUCUGUGCCAGCAGCCGCGGUAAUACAGAGGGUGCGAGCGUUAAUCGGAAUUACUGGGCGUAAAGCGAGUGUAGGUGGCUCAUUAAGUCCCAUGUGAAAUCCCCGGGCUUAACCUGGGAACUGCAUGUGAUACUGGUGGUGCUAGAAUAUGUGAGAGGGAAGUAGAAUUCCAGGUGUAGCGGUGAAAUGCGUAGAGAUCUGGAGGAAUACCGAUGGCGAAGGCAGCUUCCUGGCAUAAUAUUGACACUGAGAUUCGAAAGCGUGGGUAGCAAACAGGAUUAGAUACCCCCGUAGUC
Molecule: ribosomal RNA, 465 nt
Filed under: uncultured bacterium
Lineage: Bacteria
Description: partial 16S ribosomal RNA
Rfam family: Bacterial small subunit ribosomal RNA
Source: RNAcentral